UCUAGUAAUGAGUUUUGAAUCUUAAGUUGGUUGCAGUCAGUCACAGACAGACGUGAUAUUACACGUCAAAAAAGUUUAACAACGGAGAUCGGAUAACAAGUUAACUGUUUUUAAGUAAUAGAUAAAACAAACUUUAGCAAAUGAUUCUUACUGCAUUCUUGACUAUGUUUUCAGAUAAUUUCAGCUGAAGUUUUCAUGUACCUGGCCAACUAGGUGCUCGUGACAAUAGAAAUGAAAUGGUCUAAUCCAAUAAUGCAAGCUCACAAGUCACAACCUAUGUCUUCUGAAGAAAAAUCAUUUCUGUUGCAGUUGUAAAUCUUCAAGAUAUUGAUGCCUUCGCCAGAUCCAAUUCUUUGUUGCUGAUGAGAGAGAGAAUUCAUCAUUUUGUGUGCAACAGUUUUGAUUAUUUUUAUUUCUAAUUUAAAUUUUGCUUUAGAUUUUGCAUUUAGACUGAAUGAUAACCAUUUUGUUGCCCAUCCAAGGAUAAGGAAAAGGCCAACACCACCAACACGUCAACUAGGUUCUUUGUUUGUUAACCCCCUUGGCUGGUGAAAGAUUGUUGUGCAUCAAGUUAACCUGUGGCUGUUCCUUGUUGCUGGUGUCUUGCUACAGAAGUUACAGGCAGUUUAGAGUUUAGCCGUUUACGUUCGCGUAGUUGCUGUCCGGUGUGGCACGUUGUUGCAGCCUAUGUUGGUGAAAGAUCUUUCUGCAUCAAGUUCAACUGGUCGUUCCUUGGUGG
Long non-coding RNA from Daphnia pulex (common water flea), 739 nucleotides. RefSeq lists it as uncharacterized. The transcript has 3 exons. The record is from RefSeq and is a predicted model, not a curated record. NCBI's taxonomy places the organism in Eukaryota, Metazoa, Arthropoda, Branchiopoda, Diplostraca, Daphniidae.